CAGUAGCCACGGUAAUACGUAGGUGGCAAGCGUUGUCCGGAAUUAUUGGGCGUAAAGGGCUCGCAGGCGGUUUCUUAAGUCUGAUGUGAAAGCCCCCGGCUCAACCGGGGGGGGUCAUUGGAAACUGGGAAACUUGAGUGCAGAAGAGGAGAGUGGAAUUCCACAUGUAGCGGUGAAAUGCGUAGAGAUGUGGAGGAACACCAGUGGCGAAAGCGGCUCACUGGACCAUUUCUGACGCUGAUGCACGAAAGCUAGGGGAGCAAACAGGAUUAGAUACCCCGGUAGUCCCUGUCUCUUAUAC
This 301-nucleotide ribosomal RNA is filed under the name uncultured bacterium. RNAcentral's name for it is "partial 16S ribosomal RNA". It matches the Rfam family "Bacterial small subunit ribosomal RNA", at positions 509 to 807 of the family's 1533-position model. The record is from RNAcentral.